CUAGCAAAACAGUGUUAAGUUUUGUAGGUGUUACAAGCAUACAAGUAUAUUGUGGGAUGGCUCUGCAUUGCUUUACAUCCCUGGCUUGGUUCUCAGGCAAGGUCAGCCCUUUUCGCCGUGUCCUCAUAGGAUUUAACAUGACAAAGAGAAACAGCAUGUUUUGCAAAAUGCAGAGCCCAAUUUCAAGGACCAUAACAUCCUUGAGUAUUCAGAAUUGGACACAGCAUCCCAUCUGUAGCACAGAGAGCUUCAAGGAGAGCUGAAGAAUUACUUAAUGGUUUUGUAGGUGGUAACACUGGCUAUAAAUUGCAAUAAGGGUUUGCCUUUUUUACAGGAGUGUAACAUUGUUUACUCCUGUUCAGCCUAUGAUCUAUAUUAAUAUCCAAAUCUUUUUCUGUGAUGUUCUUACAUAGCUUGGCAUUCCUCACCUUAUGUUUUUGUAGUUUAUUAUUCUUGCCUAAGUGUGGCAACCUAUUUGUUUUUAUUGAGUUGCCUCAACUCCUCCUGAAGUUGUUCCACAAUAUAUACCUGUUGUGUUUGAUUGGCAAAAAUACCUACCCACAGUAACUGUGAGUAAACCAAUGUGUAUUUAAAAAGAAGCUGCUCUAUUCUCUAGAGAGAAGUCUAACAAAUUAAAUAUUCACAUCUUUUUUAUUGAA
Long non-coding RNA from Pezoporus flaviventris, 659 nucleotides. RefSeq lists it as uncharacterized. The record is from RefSeq and is a predicted model, not a curated record. The transcript has 2 exons. NCBI's taxonomy places the organism in Eukaryota, Metazoa, Chordata, Aves, Psittaciformes, Psittacidae.